UAAUACGGGAGGCAGCAGUGGGGAAUCUUGGACAAUGGGGGCAACCCUGAUCCAGCCAUGCCGCGUGAGUGAUGAAGGCCUUAGGGUCGUAAAGCUCUUUCGCCUGUGAAGAUAAUGACGGUAGCAGGUAAAGAAACCCCGGCUAACUCCGUGCCAGCAGCCGCGGUAAUACGGAGGGGGUUAGCGUUGUUCGGAAUUACUGGGCGUAAAGCGCACGUAGGCGGAUCGGAAAGUUGGGGGUGAAAUCCCGGGGCUCAACCCCGGAACUGCCUCCAAAACUAUCGGUCUAGAGUUCGAGAGAGGUGAGUGGAAUUCCGAGUGUAGAGGUGAAAUUCGUAGAUAUUCGGAGGAACACCAGUGGCGAAGGCGGCUCACUGGCUCGAUACUGACGCUGAGGUGCGAAAGUGUGGGGAGCAAACAGGAUUAGAUACCCUGGUAGUCCACACCGUAAACGAUGAAUGCCAGUCGUCGGGUAGCAUGCUAUUCGGUGACACACCUAACGGAUUAAGCAUUCCGCCU
RNAcentral lists this ribosomal RNA (519 nucleotides) under bacterium A4T_VP5_H11. RNAcentral's name for it is "bacterial SSU rRNA". It matches the Rfam family "Bacterial small subunit ribosomal RNA", at positions 337 to 874 of the family's 1533-position model. The record is from RNAcentral.